Molecule: ribosomal RNA, 253 nt
Filed under: uncultured bacterium
Lineage: Bacteria
Description: partial 16S ribosomal RNA
Rfam family: Bacterial small subunit ribosomal RNA
Source: RNAcentral
GACGUAGGGUGCGAGCGUUGUCCGGAUUUAUUGGGCGUAAAGAGCUCGUAGGCGGCUCGUCGCGUCGACCGUGAAAACCCGCGGCUUAACUGCGGGCUUGCGGUUGAUACGGGCGGGCUAGAGUUCGGUAGGGGAGACUGGAAUUCCUGGUGUAGCGGUGAAAUGCGCAGAUAUCAGGAGGAACACCGGUGGCGAAGGCGGCAUCCUGGACCGGCAUUGACGCUGAGGAGCGAAAGCCAGGGGAGCAAACGGG